AAGUCGUAACAAGGUUUCCGUAGGUGAACCUGCGGAAGGAUAUAACACGUAUCCAACGUUAAACAACCCUGUGAACCUUCAUUCCUGCUCUCCUCGACCCCUAACAAAAGCAAUCCUUGGACCAAUUUGAUUCAAGGACCUAAGCAGAUAACCGAUUAAAACUCGGAGCAUCGAGUGCCCACACGGCCGAUGAACAAGUCUCUGGGCGCAAGCUCCCAAAUUAACUACCUCUAAGCCUUAGCGGCCGCCUCGUGCUGUCGAUGUCUGAAAGCUGAACAACUGUUAACAAUGGAUAUCUUGGUUCUC
This 306-nucleotide unclassified non-coding RNA is filed under the name fungal sp. Its description in RNAcentral is "partial internal transcribed spacer region". The stretch from base 1 to 46 matches the Rfam family "Eukaryotic small subunit ribosomal RNA", at positions 1786 to 1831 of the family's 1831-position model. Lineage: Eukaryota; Fungi. The record is from RNAcentral.